Long non-coding RNA from Uranotaenia lowii, 461 nucleotides. RefSeq lists it as uncharacterized. The transcript is spliced from 3 exons. The record is from RefSeq and is a predicted model, not a curated record. NCBI's taxonomy places the organism in Eukaryota, Metazoa, Arthropoda, Insecta, Diptera, Culicidae.
UGGAAUUGGUCCGAUUCCAUCCAGGAAUAUUUUACCGGGAAGCAUGCCCUCCUUGGCGAAUCGGGAACAUGGAAGAGUUGGAAGGUUAUCCUGCUUUUUUAAAUCCUGGUUUCCCGAAAGCAAACAUUUGUCUGGCGCUCUAUUUAAGGAUCCAUCCAUUCAUUUAAAAACCCAAGGACCUGGUCAUGGUAUGACCCUGACCUGAAAAGGAACUUUGGGAGGAUUCUGGCAAGGAAUUCAAAGUUGGAAAACUUUUCCUUUGGCGUCUGUGAAGGACUUCUGAUAUGGUUAACUUUUAACCGUUACUCGCCAACGCCAACCCAACAAAAGGAAUAACCCAAAAGAUAGCUAGGGUUUCCUGAAUCUGGUCAACGACAUCGAUUGGAUUUUCGACAACCGGCUUGAUGUUAAACUUUUGCCAGAAGUCAAUUCCCAGGAUGCAUUUCCUAUUAAGGUCGGGU